Molecule: transfer RNA, 77 nt
Filed under: Opitutales bacterium
Lineage: Bacteria; Pseudomonadati; Verrucomicrobiota; Opitutia; Opitutales
Description: tRNA-Val
Rfam family: tRNA
About the family: Transfer RNA (tRNA) molecules are approximately 80 nucleotides in length. Their secondary structure includes four short double-helical elements and three loops (D, anti-codon, and T loops).
Source: RNAcentral
GAACGAUUAGCUCAGUUGGUUAGAGCGCCUGCAUCACACGCAGUAGGUCGCAGGUUCGAAUCCUGCAUCGUUCACCA